RNAcentral lists this long non-coding RNA (326 nucleotides) under Lathyrus oleraceus (garden pea). Its description in RNAcentral is "Pisum sativum (pea) long non-coding RNA (PSAT_LNC010828)". The record is from RNAcentral. Lineage: Eukaryota; Viridiplantae; Streptophyta; Magnoliopsida; Fabales; Fabaceae.
GCAAAUUCUGUUAGGAUUUAGCUUUUAUAUCAUGUACUAAUCACUUUGCUAAUCCAAAUUAGGCUUGGUAAAAUGAGAUUAAGGAAAUGAGAGGUGUGAUGCAAAAUACACAAGUGUGCUUAGCAUGGUCUUCCCAUACGUGAACAGUACCAUGCAAGCAUCCAAAUCCACUUAAAAUCAUCUAAUAAACACAAUGGAAGUGGUAUUUUGUUGGUAGCAUCAACCAAUUUUGAAUUCUUGAAUUUCCCUCCAAAAUGCACAUGAUUGAGCAAGUUAUCACAUGAGCAAUUUUCAAGCAAGGCAAUGGUUGAUUUGGAAAGUAUUGG